UGGGGAAUAUUGGACAAUGGGGGCAACCCUGAUCCAGCCAUGCCGCGUGAGUGAUGAAGGCCUUCGGGUUGUAAAGCUCUUUUGGCGGGGACGAUGAUGACGGUACCCGCAGAAUAAGCCCCGGCUAACUUCGUGCCAGCAGCCGCGGUAAGACGAAGGGGGCUAGCGUUGUUCGGAAUUACUGGGCGUAAAGCGAGUGUAGGCGGUUGCCGUAGUCAGGUGUGAAAGCCUUGAGCUCAACUCAAGAAAUGCACUUGAUACUGGGUGACUAGAGGACCGGAGAGGAUAGUGGAAUUCCCAGUGUAGUGGUGAAAUACGUAGAGAUUGGGAAGAACACCAGUGGCGAAGGCGGCUAUCUGGACGGUUACUGACGCUAAGACUCGAAAGCGUGGGGAGCAAACAGGAUUAGAUACCCUGGUAGUCCACGCCGUAAACGAUGGGUGCUAGACGUUGGCGAGCUUGCUCGUCAGUGUCGCAGCUAGCGCGUUAAGCACCCCGCCUGGGGAGUACGGCCGCAA
Molecule: ribosomal RNA, 518 nt
Filed under: uncultured bacterium
Lineage: Bacteria
Description: partial 16S ribosomal RNA
Rfam family: Bacterial small subunit ribosomal RNA
Source: RNAcentral